AUUGAACGCUGGCGGCAGGCCUAACACAUGCAAGUCGAACGGAACCUUCGGGUUUAGUGGCGAACGGGUGAGUAAUGCCUAGGAAUCUGCCUAUUAGUGGGGGUUAACGAAUCGAAAGGUUCGCUAAUACCGCAUACGUCCUACGGGAGAAAGAGGGGGAUCUUCGGACCUCUUGCUAAUAGAUGAGCCUAGGUCGGAUUAGCUAGUUGGUGAGGUAAAGGCUCACCAAGGCGACGAUCUGUAGCUGGUCUGAGAGGAUGGCCAGCCACACUGGAACUGAGACACGGUCCACACUCCUACGGGAGGCAGCAGUGGGGAAUAUUGGACAAUGGGCGCAAGCCUGAUCCAGCCAUGCCGCGUGUGUGAAGAAGGCCCUCGGGUUGUAAAGCACUUUAAGCGAGGAGGAAGGUCAUCAUACUAAUAUUAUGAUGAAUUGACGUUACUCGCAGAAUAAGCACCGGCUAACUCUGUGCCAGCAGCCGCGGUAAUACAGAGGGUGCAAGCGUUAAUCGGAAUUACUGGGCGUAAAGCGCGCGUAGGCGGUUUGUUAAGUCGGAUGUGAAAUCCCUGGGCUCAACCUAGGCACUGCAUCCGAUACUGGCUGACUA
Molecule: ribosomal RNA, 608 nt
Filed under: uncultured bacterium
Lineage: Bacteria
Description: bacterial SSU rRNA
Rfam family: Bacterial small subunit ribosomal RNA
Source: RNAcentral